Molecule: small nucleolar RNA, 127 nt
Organism: Python bivittatus (Burmese python)
Lineage: Eukaryota; Metazoa; Chordata; Lepidosauria; Squamata; Pythonidae
Product: small nucleolar RNA SNORD22
Source: RefSeq, a predicted model, not a curated record
UCCCAGUGAUGAAAUCCUUUGCGUCCUACUGUCUGUUUUGGGGCCAGAACCUGCAAAGGUUGAACCCACUGGCACCGGCAGAUGGAAAAGAGGAAGAUCUGCUACAGAAGGAGCCGUCUGAUGGGAC